Lycium barbarum (goji berry) is the source of this 2703-nucleotide long non-coding RNA. RefSeq lists it as uncharacterized. The record is from RefSeq and is a predicted model, not a curated record. The transcript is spliced from 3 exons. NCBI's taxonomy places the organism in Eukaryota, Viridiplantae, Streptophyta, Magnoliopsida, Solanales, Solanaceae.
UUGUCAUUUUGCUAAGAUCAUUAUUACCAAGGAACGUCUUCCAACAUAAAGUGGUGACAAAGAGAUAAGAUAUACUUUCUAUUAAGACACGUGGGACACCAUUUCUUUACAUAGAAAUAAUCACCACCGUAUCCAACAUAUGUUUAUAUUUGUUGCAUUCCUUUUGUGCUAGGAUAUAAAUAUAUAUAUACACAUCUGAUAUAUUAGUUCUUAAACAUUAAGGUUCUCUAGAUAUCUAGCACCACCGUAUGUUGCUAUAUAUGUUUAUUAGUUGUGUAGAACCAUAGCAUCCAAGAAGAUUAACAUUUCCAUGUAUAGCUAAUAAAAGGGCACCAACCAUGGUAUUUUCAAGCCAUUGGUUCAACGUGAAAAUGGGGAAUUUGGCCUAGGGGAGAGUUGCUCCAAGACCAUGUAUAGUUAUCCUCCUCCGUCGACUUUACGUUUAUAACAUCGGUUUCCUCCGAAUCCUAGCAAAUCAGAGAAUUGUUUUUCAAAGAGAAGGUGGAAGAAAAGUAUUUCUUGGCAUAUAAGGUAACGACGUGACAUUAGGGGAGGGCAAGUGAACGAUAACAUAGCUAAACGACAAAGGUAUGUGAGGCUAGUCCUUUCUUUCUAAUGGCAUGAAUCCUAUAGCAUGAGUUCUUUUCCUCUUCAUGAGUUCCUAUUUUCCGGAAAGCUAGAAGCCUAAGUCCAUAAAUGUCUAUAUAAGAUAAGAGAUAUGAUAUGAUGAUGCCAUAUUGAUAAUGAUGCUAUUUAUUGCUUACACUCACCUUAUGUACUAAUUCCUUCAAGGUGAGGCAGAAUGUCAAUAAUUGCUCCAUAAUGAAAUCGGGGGAUCACGACCUUACGCCACCCCGAUAGAGUACAGUUGAUCUUGAGUCUUAUGCAUGUACUAUGAUAAGCAUAUUAUGAUAAGCAUAUUAUUACAAGUAUUUUUGAUGAGCAUGUCAUGAUCAUAUUACACCGCGCCUAGUUGGUCGGGCAGUCACCGCCAAGGCGGGCAGCUAUACGGAUACACCAUGACCUUUUGGCAUGGGCAGACACCACUAGUGGGCGGCAUGAGAUGGUACCCCGGACGCGGGAGGCCUGGACGCGGGCUAAUGUUAUUGAUUAUCACACCGUUCCGAUAUGGACGGGCAGCUUGCAUAUUAUGCAUAUAUGAGAUUAUGAUGAGUAUGAGUAAGAUAACAUGCAUUACUUUUUUUAUGAUUGUCAUUCAGAUUCAGAUGUUUCAUAUUGAUGUUCACAUUAUAUUAUCACUGUCUUUCUUCAUUGUUUAUGCCUCUCAUACUCAGUACAAUGUUCGUACUGACGUCCGUUUUCAUUGGACGUUGUGUUCAUGCCCACAGGUAGACAGGGAGGUGAGCUUGGUCCAGACCCUUAGUAGCUGUCAGCUGAUUGAGAGCACUCCAUUGUUCGGAGGUGCUUAUGAUUCUUCUUUUGGUAUAUAUGCAUAUUUUGGGCACGACGGAGUCUUGUUCCGUCUAUAUGUUUAGUAUGUCAGUAGAGGCUCGUAGAUACGCAGUGUAGGUCAGAUGGUCUCACAAGAUGUUAUUAUAUAUAUAUAUAUAUUAUUUUGAUGGCCGAGAGGCAAAUGUAUAUAAGUAUUUAUGUUUCUAUAUAAAAUAUGAUUUUCCUACAAUUAGUGUAUAAAAUUGGUAAAAGAGCAUUAAAUGAGUAAGAUGAGUAUUAGAGCGAGUGGUGCUCGGUGGCUAGCCCCGGGUACCCGUCACGGUCCCUAGCUGGGUCGUGAUAAUAAGUUGUUGUUCUGAAUUUGGGAGAAUAAAGUGUAUAAAUAUAUUGUAUACAAAGCGUAUACCGGGCUGUUUUGUGCCGAUAUUUGGGGCUGUUUUAUGUAAUUUUCGUGGCUGUUUUGUGGCAAUAUUUUGGGGCUGUUUUAUGUAAUUUUCGUGGCUAUUUUGUGACUAUAUUUUGGAGCUGUUUGGUAUAAUAUUUGUGGCUGUUUUGCGAUGAUAUUUUCGGGACUGUUUUAUGGUCUUUAUGGACUGUUUUGUGGGCUAGAAUAUCGGGGGAUUGGUUGUAGUUGUUGCUGUUAUAUUAUGGAUAUACGGAAAUAAAGAAGUGUAUACAAGCAUUGGCAUCCGAAUGUAUAUUGGGCUGUUUUGCGAGUAAUUUAAGAAUGGAUUUAAUUCUAGUUUGAUAUGAAAUUGUUGGUAUUGUUGUUGUUGGUAUUUUUAUUGAUGUUUGGCUAAGUUGGAAUUUCGAGGAUUGUUAAGUUUACAGGGGAAAUGCUGCCCGAAUUUUGUUAAGUUUCAUUCGUACUUGGAUUGGUUAGUUAGUGAUGCGGAUAAUCUAACUGUGCCUAUGUUAUCUUAAUUUUAGACCUGCGAGCUCGAGAAGUAGACGUUGGACAUUAGAUAGAGUUCAAGGUAGACAGGGAGGUGAGCUUGAUCCAGAUUCUUAGUAGCUGUCAGCUGAUUGAGAGCACUCCAUUGUUCGGAGGUGCUUAUGUUUAUUAUUUUGGUUCCUUUAUGCAUUUCGCGCACGACGGAGUCUUGUUCCAUCUAUAUGUAUAAUAUGUCAGUAGAGGCUCGUAGACGCGCAGUGUGGGUUAGAUGGUCUCACAAGAUUACUAUGUUAUAUUUGUAUAUGUUAUUUUGAUGGCCUAAGGGGCAUAUGUAUAUAAAAUCAUUUGUGUUGUCAAAUGAAAAAUGGUUGUCUUAUGAUUAUGAGAUUAUGAAU